Molecule: long non-coding RNA, 3384 nt
Filed under: Sus scrofa (pig)
Lineage: Eukaryota; Metazoa; Chordata; Mammalia; Artiodactyla; Suidae
Description: lncRNA (ENSSSCG00040052209.1)
Source: RNAcentral
CCGCUCCGAGCUCCCGGCGCGCGUGGCGGGGCUGCGCGGGUUUCUCUUCCUGGAUCGGCCCCGGGGCUCAGGACGUCCAACGCUCCGCCUUGCAGGCGGGAUUUGGCCAACGAGGGGGACUCCAAAGUUGGAGUUUGAGAAAAGUGGAUGGAUGGUGCUGACAUUUAUCUGAGGAAUGAAGGGUAAUUUUCGCGAGCGGGAAAGAAGCCAAUUUCGAGAGAUGCUGGGAUCAGGACAGGAGGGGUAAGAUCAUGAUUUUAGGUGAGGACUUUCAGAGCUUGAGGUUCCCAGGCUAGGGAUUGAAUCGGAGCUGUAGCCACCGGCCUACGCCAGAGGCACAGCAACGCAGGAUCCGAGCCGCGUCUGCAACCUACACCACAGCUCACGGCAACGCUGGAUCCUUAACCCACUGAGCAAGGCAGGGACCGAACCCGCAACCUCAUGGUUCCUAGUCGGAUUCGUUAACCACUGCGCCACGACAGGAACUCCUUUUUUUUUUUUUUUUUUAGGCUGUCUUUAGGCAUGAACAUUGUUAGAAACUUUCUUUCUCUUUGCUUUUCAAGACCACACUAGUGGCAUAUGGAUGCUCCAAGGCCAGGGGUCUAAACAGACCCACAGAUUCCAGCCUACGCCACAGCAACGCCAGAUCUGAGCCACCUCUGCGACCUACACCACAGCUCACGGCAAUGCUGGAUCCUUAGCCCACACGUGAGGCCAGGGAUCGAACCUACAACCUCAUGGUUCCUAGUUGGAUUCGUUUCCAUUGCGCCAUGAAGGGAACUCCAGAAACUUUCUUCCCGAGGUGAAAUUCUAUAAAUCUGAGGCUUGGGGCCUUGGUGAGGAACUCUCUUUCCCACAGGUAAAGUGGGCUGUGGCUUUCUUCCCUUUGCUUAGAGCCAGGUACUUGCAUCUCCACGCAUACCUGCCUACCCUGCUAGAGUCACCCUUUCUAACCCAGGCGACUUCAACUUGGGGGGGUCCUUCCUCAGCCUGGCCUGCAGUUCCGUCCUUUCUGGAAAAAGCUGCUACCACAACCACUAGCUGAGCAAUGAAAAGUUCUCAACUCUGAAAAUUUCAUACCAGAUUGAUACUGAACCCAGUUUUGCUGGGCUUGCCACGUGACAGCCCAGUACAAUCGGAGUCAAGUUGUUGAGCCUCUGGAUCGAACCUGCGACCUCAUGGAUACUAGUCAGGUUCCUUAACCACUGAGCGACAACGGGAACUCCAAUAUAUAGCUUUUUGUAUGUCAACCAUACCUUAGUCAAGUGGUUUUCAAAAAAUGUAACCAAGGAGUUCUCUUGUGGGACAGCGGGUUUGGGAUCCAGCAUUGUGGUGGGGGUUUGAUUCCCGGCCUGGUGCAGUGGGUUAAGGAUCUGGUGUUGCUGCAGCUGUGGUGAAGGUCGCCGCUGUGGCUGGGAUUCAGUCCCUGGCCUGGGAACUUCCAUAUGCCAUGGGUGCAGCCAAACAAUUAAAAUUAAGACUCUUCCUCAUUCAAUUUUUACCACAUGGUGGGUGCUAAGUUUUUACAUAUAUUCUGUUUAAUUUAAUAUUCUUGUCACUCCUAGGACAUAGUUGUCCCCUGCUAUCCAUGGGGGCUUGGUUCCAGAACUCCUGGACACCAAAGUCCUUGGGAUGAGGGUGGAGCGGGAGAGUUGCACAGGUAGUGGCGGAAGUCCCUUCAGGAACUACAGGCAGACAGGGAGACCCGGGGGCCUUUGGGAGAUCACUCUACGUCAACAACUGCCCAAGAAUGCCAUCAGAACGAGGCAGGCUUGCUCGAUUCGUGGAGAGCCUGAGAUGUGCUUCAGGCCAUUGGAUGGGAGAUGGGGUGAGACAGGCAUUCAAGUUCAGACCAAGGGCAGGAGGUUAAGGACCACCCUUCUGCUGAUUUGAAUAAGCACCCUGACAGUCCUAAUUUGACCUUAGAGGGUCAAAUACUCUCUUACUGGAUACGAAGUUGGAGCUACUACUGGAAGAAAGAGGAAGAGGCGGUCUUUUCCCACCCCCACUGCCCUUGGAUUAUAAAACUGCAGCCCAUUGAAUCCUCAGGGCAGAGCCUCCUUGCUGCCCACUUGCAUCUCUCACAAGCAUCCUAUCUUAACAAAUCUAUUUCUUGCCCAUCACUUUGUCUCUCACUGAAUUCCUUGGCGCUGAGACACAACGAACCUGAACUUCAGGAAGUCCAGACACAGGGUAAGUGAUUCUAAUUUAAAAACUGUGGAUUCAAGUACCAAUCCGGGUUCUGACAGGACUCGAGUCCCGGCACACGGUUUCUAGAACCCAUCCUGGCACAUGGGUUCUAAGUUCAAGUCACAAGUGCUGUCAGUGUCACUUGGAUGCUCAAGUCCCUCCUAUAAAAUGGUAUACAAUUUGCUUAUAACCUACUCAUAGCCUCCUUAUACUUUAAAUCAUCUCUAGAUUACUUCGCAUACCUAAUAAAAUGUAAAUGCCAUGUAAAUAAUUGUAAAAACUAUAUAAACAAUUGUGAGUGCACAGCAAAUUCAAGUUCCGCUUUUUGGAAAUUCUGUAACUUUUUCCCGCUGAACUGUCCAUCCUCCUUUGGUUGAAUGUGAAGAUGUGGAACCUGUGGAUAGGGAGGCGUGAUUGUAUUAUUAUUAUUCCCAUUUUGCAGAUGAGAACAGUUCCUGAGAGGCUGCUGCCAAAGACUGCAAAGCUCUUUGUGAGGCAUCCAGGUUGGAUUUGAUCCAGAGCCUGCCUGUCUCCAGAGCAUGGGCCCUGAAUCAUGAUGUCAUAGAGCUUUCCUGCUUCCUAUGAUGGCAUAGAGGAUUAUAUCAGGAUGCAUAAUCUGGGGCUGUAUGGGAGCUCCUAGUCUGAUUUUUCUCUACAGCAAUACUUGAAGAUACAACAAGGACAGGAGCAGCUGAUGAGGCUGGACUGUUCAUUGUCCGGCAGUUCCUCCCUCCACCCCUUCUACCUUGUAAUGGAUUUUGAGAAGCCUUCCGGCUCACUGGGCAGUUGUGAGCAUUACCUAGGCUACAGGUGAACAUUUAUAUAAUCUUAAUUUAAUAGUGAAGACUUGGGUAUGGUAAAAGACUCAUUUAUCCAACCGAUAAGCAAUGCUGUACCACAUAUUACAUUAGAAUAAAAAUAUAGGAAUAAAAGGGAGUUCUCACCAUGGCUCAGCAGUCAACGAACCCAACUAGUAUCUAUGAGGACGCAGGUUCUAACCCUGGCCUUGCUCAGUGGGUCGAAGAUCUGGCAUGGGAGUGAGUUGUGGUGUAGAUUGCAGACCCGGCUCAGAUCCCACGUCGCUGUGGCUGUGGUGUAGGCUGGAAGCUGGAGCUCUGAGUCAGUCCCUAACCUGGGAACCUCCAAGUGCCACAGGUUCGGCCCUAAAAGGACCAAAAAAAAAAAAAAAAAAAA